This is a small nucleolar RNA of Grammomys surdaster, 131 nucleotides long. RefSeq annotates it as small nucleolar RNA SNORA17. The record is from RefSeq and is a predicted model, not a curated record. Lineage: Eukaryota; Metazoa; Chordata; Mammalia; Rodentia; Muridae. The transcript has a single exon.
UAUACCCCAUAGGUACUACAGGUGUGGUCACUGUGUCACCUGUGCAUCAAUAGAUGGCAGGGAUGAGAAAGGCUAUGUCUAUGCUCAGUGUUCUGACCUGUAUACAUCUGAGUGAUCAAUAGCCUAGUACU